This 510-nucleotide ribosomal RNA is filed under the name uncultured bacterium. Its description in RNAcentral is "bacterial SSU rRNA". It matches the Rfam family "Bacterial small subunit ribosomal RNA", at positions 8 to 507 of the family's 1533-position model. The record is from RNAcentral.
AGAGUUUGAUCAUGGCUCAGAGUGAACGCUGGCGGCAGGCCUAAUACAUGCAAGUCGAACGGCAGCACAGCAGAGCUUGCUCUGUGGGUGGCGAGUGGCGGACGGGUGAGGAAUACGUGGGAAUCUGCCCAGCCGUGGGGGAUAACGUAGGGAAACUUACGCUAAUACCGCAUGCGCCCUUCGGGGGAAAGCCGGGGACCUUCGGGCCUGGCGCGAUUGGAUGAGCCCACGUCGGAUUAGCUAGUUGGCGGGGUAAAGGCCCACCAAGGCGACGAUCCGUAGCUGGUCUGAGAGGAUGAUCAGCCACACUGGAACUGAGACACGGUCCAGACUCCUACGGGAGGCAGCAGUAGGGAAUAUUGGACAAUGGGCGCAAGCCUGAUCCAGCCAUGCCGCGUGAGUGAAGAAGGCCCUCGGGUUGUAAGGCUCUUUUGUCCGGAAAGAAAAGCGCCGGGUUAAUACCCUGGUGUCCUGACGGUACCGGAAGAAUAAGCACCGGCUAACUUCGUG